AGCUUUGUGCAGUGGCAGUAUCAUAGCCAAUGAGGUUUAUCCGAGGUGCAAAAUUCACUAAUUGAAAACUUAAAAGAACAAUUGCAUUGGAUAAUAUUCGCAUUUUGGUGCUUUUUAUGUUUAUAUUUAAA
Molecule: non-coding RNA, 131 nt
Organism: Canis lupus familiaris (dog)
Lineage: Eukaryota; Metazoa; Chordata; Mammalia; Carnivora; Canidae
Source: Rfam